RNAcentral lists this long non-coding RNA (285 nucleotides) under Oryctolagus cuniculus (rabbit). RNAcentral's name for it is "lncRNA (ENSOCUG00000035326.1)". Lineage: Eukaryota; Metazoa; Chordata; Mammalia; Lagomorpha; Leporidae. The record is from RNAcentral.
AUGGAAUGCAACAAGGAUGGUCAUUGGAUGUUCAUACACUUUGAGGAAGCAACACUGGGAAAAUUCUCCUUGAAGCAAAACGCAAGUGAUGGUCAUGGAUCUGCAUACCUGACAAAAAGAUUUUUAGGAAUUUCAUAUUUGCUGAUAGAAUACGUUGAAGAAAAAAGGAAAUUUCCAAAGGUCCUGACAAACAUCAAGAUUGAAUACAAAAAGAAGAAAACUCCGUUGGUACUAACCCCCAUGUCAUUAUGGAAAUAUCUUCUGAGAAGCUCCUCCUGGAGGUAG